This is a long non-coding RNA of Salvia splendens (bonfire salvia), 1453 nucleotides long. RefSeq lists it as uncharacterized. The transcript is spliced from 3 exons. Lineage: Eukaryota; Viridiplantae; Streptophyta; Magnoliopsida; Lamiales; Lamiaceae. The record is from RefSeq and is a predicted model, not a curated record.
UGAAGGAGCAGAAAUUUGCGAAAAUUGAUCGAGGGAAUGGAGGAUUUUGAGAAGAAGGUAUCCAUAUCAGAACCAGUGGCCAUCGCUGAACCAGAAAAUAUGGAGAUUCAAGCUGAAGAGAAACUAUAAAAGGACUCAAACAAUUCGAGGUUUGCUCCGUAGAUUCCUCGCUGUUUAGCAGGCUCCGCGCCUUCGCUUAUCCGACUCAAACGGAAUUUUGAAGAUUAUAGAGUUUCGGGAGGUGAAUUGGCUUACCAGCAGCUUUGCAGAGAGAUCACUCUCGAGUUCAAUGAUUGAUCGAAGCAGGUCAGUCUCACUGAAUCAUGGCACUAUUGAAAGUGAUCAUGUUUCUUAUGUUCUUACCUAGGAAAUAAUUUCAAGUGUGGAAAACAAUUUUGAUGUUGCUGAACAAAUUUUACAAGUUCAUGAAUGACCAUGGUGUAUUAGCUGGAUUAGGAGUGUUUCUUCUCGAGUUUAAUGAUUGUUCGAAGCAGGUCGGUCUCACUGAAUCAUGGCACUAUCGAAAGUGAUCGUGAUUCUUAUGUUAGUACAUGGGAGUGAUAAUGUCAACUAAGUGUGGAAGACAAGCUUUGAUGUUGCUGAACAAAUUUUAGCUAGUUUAUGACCAUAGUGUAUUAGCUAGAUUAGGAGUGUUUACUCUCGAGUUCAAUGAUUGUUCAAAGAAGGUCGGUCUCACUGAAUCAUGGCACUGUUGAAAGGGAUCAUGUUUCUUAAGUUAAUACCUGGGAAUAAUAAUUUCGAGAGUGUGGAAGACAAUAUGAUGCCGCUGAACAAAUUUUAACUAGUUCGUGACCGUGGUGCAUUAAGUAGGUGUUUUGGGUGCAUUUGUUAUCUCGGUUUAUUGAAUGGCCUGCUGCUUUUGCUUAUGUGGAAUGCAUUUGUGAUGAUGGUGCUUGAAAUGGAAUCAGUAUUUGCAAGCCUGGCUUAUUGCAGAGAGGAUCUGGCUAGCUGGCUGAGAUCAGUUCAAGUACAAGAAAAAAGAGAAAUUGAAUUUAACGGCUACAAUUCAAGUGCUGAAGAAGGCCAGACGGCCCUCAGAACGCUAGGUAAGCCAUGAAAACUGCAGAUAUACGGGGCACAAAUGCAUGCACAUCCAGCAAAUAACUGAGGAAUCUGGAACCAAGGAGGCUGAGCCCGAUUCUGAAUACGAUAAUGCCCUCAAGGAAGCUGUUAAAGGCAUGCAAGACGCGGUCAUUUCUAUAACCGUUUACUUGGAAGAAGUCCGGUAAGAGAUUGCAGCACUGGAUGACGAAUAACACUCUUUCUUUUGGUGGUGCAAGUGCAAGGGUGAUCCAAUCCAUCAUGGAUGCUUUCAGUUUAAUGCAAUUAUACUCUAUUCAUCCUAAGUUAAUUGAAUCGUAUUCUUUUUUUGGAAUGUAUUAUGUUAAAUUUUUCAUCAGGCGGAAAAAUCAACCAUUUUUUAUUCUUCUUA